Molecule: ribosomal RNA, 253 nt
Filed under: uncultured bacterium
Lineage: Bacteria
Description: partial 16S ribosomal RNA
Rfam family: Bacterial small subunit ribosomal RNA
Source: RNAcentral
UACGUAGGUGGCAAGCGUUGUCCGGAAUUAUUGGGCGUAAAGCGCGCGCAGGUGGUUUCUUAAGUCUGAUGUGAAAGCCCACGGCUCAACCGUGGAGGGUCAUUGGAAACUGGGGAACUUGAGUGCAGAAGAGGAAAGUGGAAUUCCAAGUGUAGCGGUGAAAUGCGUAGAGAUUGGGAAGAACACCAGUGGCGAAGGCGGCUAUCUGGACGGUUUCUGACACUAAGACUCGAAAGCGUGGGGAGCAAACAGG